RNAcentral lists this ribosomal RNA (506 nucleotides) under uncultured bacterium. Its description in RNAcentral is "partial 16S ribosomal RNA". It matches the Rfam family "Bacterial small subunit ribosomal RNA", at positions 30 to 523 of the family's 1533-position model. The record is from RNAcentral.
AUUGAACGCUGGCGGCAGGCCUAACACAUGCAAGUCGAGCGGCAGCGGGAAGUAGCUUGCUACUUUGCCGGCGAGCGGCGGACGGGUGAGUAAUGUCUGGGAAACUGCCUGAUGGAGGGGGAUAACUACUGGAAACGGUAGCUAAUACCGCAUAACGUCGCAAGACCAAAGAGGGGGACCUUCGGGCCUCUUGCUAUCAGAUGUGCCCAGAUGGGAUUAGCUAGUAGGUGGGGUAAUGGCUCACCUAGGCGACGAUCCCUAGCUGGUCUGAGAGGAUGACCAGCCACACUGGAACUGAGACACGGUCCAGACUCCUACGGGAGGCAGCAGUGGGGAAUAUUGCACAAUGGGCGCAAGCCUGAUGCAGCCAUGCCGCGUGUAUGAAGAAGGCCUUCGGGUUGUAAAGUACUUCCAGCGGGGAGGAAGGUGCUGAGGUUAAUAACCUCAGCAAUUGACGUUACCCGCAGAAGAAGCACCGGCUAACUCCGUGCCAGCAGCCGCCGCAG